AUGUCAUCAGGACCAUUUCCUAUUAUGUUUCCUAAUGCUGGAGUGAGCGGGAGGCAUCGCAAAGGGAGAGCAAAGGGCCAGGGGGACUGGCAGAGGAUUGAUUCGUUCCCUGAAGCCCUCCUGUGCGAGGCACCGUGUGUGAAUUAUGGCAAUCCCAAUUUCACGAGAUCCUGCAGAGCCAUUCAUUGUGCCAGCACUGCCGGAUCCUCCCGUGAAGCCAAAGGGACGUCCGGGGGCCCAGGUGCGAGAGGAAAGAUGCGUGUCAGCCUUGUGCUUAAAGUAUAAUGGGAAAUCAGCAGCCUGUAUGCCUUCAGAGACAUGAGUCCUCACCCUCCCAGAUAUGAUGAAAACAGGGAAGGAAGGGAUUCCCAGCCUGCCCUCCCAGAGACGUCCAGCAAUUUAUGCACUUCUUUCAUGUCACCUCUCCUCCCAGCCAGCUGUGAAUCCCCUAAGGCAGGAGGAAGCCUCCCUCUAUUUUCUGAUCCAAAAUCCUUUCAAAACACGGGCAGAAAAAAGCCACCUUUCUCAUUAGGGAUAUGAAGGCUGGCAAGAGCCAGAGGAAAUAUUGGAAGUGUGCUCCAGCAGAAGGGCUGGUGGCUCCAGGGGGAGUCCUGCAGGAGCAGCGCGGCUUCACGGGGGCAUGUAGGGUCCGACUGCAUUCGUCACGGAGGAAGAUGAAGGCUUUCCUUUCAACAUUUCCAUUGGGAAGAGGGAGGAGUGAGGGGGAAGCUGCAUUCAGACUUUGUCAUCCCAUUUUGUUUUGACUUCUGUGCUAAACCGAGUCAAAACAGGAUGAAGCAAGACACUGUGAAGUAAAAAUCGUUAUUUUUUAAAAAAUCUCGAUAUGCUGAAAUUAAAACAAUAAAAUAUCUGUGAUAGAUUUCA
RNAcentral lists this long non-coding RNA (885 nucleotides) under Anser cygnoides (Swan goose). RNAcentral describes it as "lncRNA (ENSACDG00005015794.1)". The record is from RNAcentral. Lineage: Eukaryota; Metazoa; Chordata; Aves; Anseriformes; Anatidae.